RNAcentral lists this ribosomal RNA (381 nucleotides) under uncultured Limnoraphis sp. RNAcentral's name for it is "bacterial SSU rRNA". It matches the Rfam family "Bacterial small subunit ribosomal RNA", at positions 376 to 770 of the family's 1533-position model. Lineage: Bacteria; Bacillati; Cyanobacteriota; Cyanophyceae; Oscillatoriales; Sirenicapillariaceae. The record is from RNAcentral.
CGAAAGCCUGACGGAGCAAGACCGCGUGAGGGAGGAAGGCUCUUGGGUCGUAAACCUCUUUUGUCAGGGAAGAACAAAAUGACGGUACCUGACGAAUCAGCCUCGGCUAACUCCGUGCCAGCAGCCGCGGUAAUACGGAGGAGGCAAGCGUUAUCCGGAAUUAUUGGGCGUAAAGCGUCCGUAGGUGGCUCUCUCAAGUCUGCGGUCAAAGACCGGGGCUCAACCCUGGAAAGGCCGUGGAAACUGGUGAGCUAGAGUGCGGUAGGGGCAGAGGGAAUUCCCAGUGUAGCGGUGAAAUGCGUAGAGAUUGGGAAGAACACCGGUGGCGAAAGCGCUCUGCUGGGCCGCAACUGACACUAAUGGACGAAAGCUAGGGGAGCG